This 853-nucleotide ribosomal RNA is filed under the name Gammarus martensi. RNAcentral describes it as "partial 16S ribosomal RNA". Lineage: Eukaryota; Metazoa; Arthropoda; Malacostraca; Amphipoda; Gammaridae. The record is from RNAcentral.
AGACUAAGAAAAUUUUAUGGGUGUACCUUUUGUAUCAGGGAAAUUUAAAAAUGUAAAAAUUAUGUAGUCGAUUUUACCAGGUCUUGUUGUACAAGCAGUGGUGGCAAUUAGUGUUUUUAAAAAUCAAGAGGUGAAAAGUGUACGGUGGUGAUGGUAUCUAAUUGUCGUGUAAAUUUUAAAAAGUCAAGCUUUUAAAUGUUUAUGGUGGAGAGUUUAGUAGGAAAACUAGGCUUUAGAUUAGCUUUGCUAGUAUAUUGUUUUAAAUAAUUUUGGGCCCGAUAAUUGGAGUAAAGUUGUACAGACAGUUUUAGUAAAUAGUAACUAGUGUCUACGAUGAAUUUAUUGAAUAAAAAACGAAAUUUAAAAUUAACUAGCAGUAAAGUAGAAUGUUUAACAAAAACAUUUCUGUCAGGUUAAAAAAAAGUAAGGCCUGCCCAGUGAAAGUUAAAUGGCUGCGGUAUUUUAACUGUGCUAAGGUAGCAUAAUCAUUUGCUUCUUAAUUGGUAGCUGGAAUGAAAGGUUAAACUAUUUUAUUCAGUUUGUAUAGUUUUACAGUAAAUUAAAGUAAAGGUAAUAAUUCCUUUAUAUUCUAGGGGACGAUAAGACCCUAGAAGUUUGACAAAUAGACUCGGUUUUAGUAGUAAAGUUUAGUUUGUUUUGCUGGGGCGGUGUUGAUAUUUAAGCUAUUAUAAUGUUGAAAGAUCAUUUAUAUAAAGAUAAGACGGGUAAAUUACUCUAGGGAUAACAGUAUAAUAUUUUUGGAGAGAUCUUAUCGAUAAGUGUGUUUGUAACCUCGAUGUUGAAUUAAGAUAUCUACGUAGGGUAGCUGUUAUAGUAGAGGGUUUGUUCAACC